AACCCUGACGCAGCAACGCCGCGUGGGUGAUGAAGGUCUUCGGAUUGUAAAGCCCUGUUUUCUGGGACGAUAAUGACGGUACUAGAGGAGGAAGCCACGGCUAACUACGUGCCAGCAGCCGCGGUAAUACGUAGGUGGCGAGCGUUGUCCGGAUUUACUGGGCGUAAAGGGUGCGUAGGCGGAUGUUUAAGUGGGAUGUGAAAUCCCCGGGCUUAACCUGGGGGCUGCAUUCCAAACUGGAUAUCUAGAGUGCAGGAGAGGAAAGCGGAAUUCCUAGUGUAGCGGUGAAAUGCGUAGAGAUUAGGAAGAACACCAGUGGCGAAGGCGGCUUUCUGGACUGUAACUGACGCUGAGGCACGAAAGCGUGGGUAGCAAACAGGAUUAGAUACCCUGGUAGUCCACGCCGUAAACGAUGGAUACUAGGUGUAGGGGGUAUCAACUCCCCCUGUGCCGCAGUUAACACAAUAAGUAUCCCGCCUGGGGAGUACGGUCGCAAGAUUAAAACUCAAAGGAAUUGACGGGGGCCCGCACAAGCAGCGGAGCAUGUGGUUUAAUUCGAAGCAACGCGAAGAACCUUACCUGGACUUGACAUCCCUUGCAUAGCCUAGAGAUAGGUGAAGCCCUUCGGGGCAAGGAGACAGGUGGUGCAUGGUUGUCGUCAGCUCG
RNAcentral lists this ribosomal RNA (666 nucleotides) under Clostridium botulinum. RNAcentral's name for it is "bacterial SSU rRNA". It matches the Rfam family "Bacterial small subunit ribosomal RNA", at positions 379 to 1062 of the family's 1533-position model. The record is from RNAcentral. Lineage: Bacteria; Bacillati; Bacillota; Clostridia; Eubacteriales; Clostridiaceae.